RNAcentral lists this long non-coding RNA (697 nucleotides) under Mus musculus (house mouse). Its description in RNAcentral is "long non-coding RNA chr3:37077654-37078351". Lineage: Eukaryota; Metazoa; Chordata; Mammalia; Rodentia; Muridae. The record is from RNAcentral.
AUGAAUUCAGGAAGGCCUGAGACCAUGGAAAACUUGCCUGCACUGUAUACUAUUUUUCAAGGAGAGGUUGCUAUGGUGACAGAAUUAUCAAAAUCCCAGGCUGUAGGAAGCAAGGUCUGGUUCAUCGAACUCCCAUGUCGUCCUGUCGAGUGGAUAAGCCUUCUGCAAUAGUGGAUGUUGGAGACAAAGUGUGGGUGAAGCUUAUUGGCUGAGAGAUGAAAAAUGAUAGAAUAAAAGUGUCCCUCUCCAUGAAAGUUGUCAACUAAGGUACUGGGAAAGACCUCAACAACAACAUUGUCAUUGAGCAAGAAGAGAGGCACAGUCAGUCCUUCAGGAUUACACUGGGCAGAAGAUCACCCUUGAGGCCGUCCUGAACACAACCUGCAAGAAGUGUGGCUGCAAAGGCCACUUUGCAAAGGACUGUUUCAUGCAGCCAGGUGGAACCGAGUAUUCUCUGACCCCUGAAGAGGAAGAGGAAAAAGAGGAGACAAAGGCAAAAGGACUUGAGAAGCCUGAUCCCACAAAGAAUUCGUCCAGGAAGAGAAAGAAGGAAAAGAAAAAAAAGAAACAUAGAGACAGGAGGUCAUCUGAUUGUGAAAGCUCUGACUCUGAGAGUGACACGGGCAAGAAGAUGAGGCAUUCAUCAAAAGACAGCAAGGCCACCAAGAAGAAAAAGAAGAAGCAGCAGCACAAGGAA